AUGAGCCCAAGCGGCCAACAACAAAAAUACAAUUGUUUUGAUACAACAACGAAGGCCAACGUCAAGGAACAGCAUGUUGACAUGCACAUCCUACUCUCGCUUCUGGUAAUCCUGACCAAUGCCUUCAGCAACAACCACGACAGCAUGCCCCUUCUUAUUUAUCCUUUGAUACAGGAACUCAAACAGGACUCCCUCCCCUUCAACGUGGAAAUCAAUCUCAAGCAGGAACUCAAACAUGACUCCCUUCCCUUCAACAUGGAAAUCAAUCUCAAGCAGCAGUCAACAUCUCGGCUUCUCAGAGUGGCAUGA
RNAcentral lists this ribosomal RNA (309 nucleotides) under Triticum aestivum (bread wheat). Its description in RNAcentral is "partial small subunit ribosomal RNA". Lineage: Eukaryota; Viridiplantae; Streptophyta; Magnoliopsida; Poales; Poaceae. The record is from RNAcentral.